This 72-nucleotide transfer RNA is filed under the name Bos taurus (domestic cattle). It matches the Rfam family "tRNA". Rfam says of the family: Transfer RNA (tRNA) molecules are approximately 80 nucleotides in length. The record is from Rfam by way of RNAcentral. Lineage: Eukaryota; Metazoa; Chordata; Mammalia; Artiodactyla; Bovidae. RNAcentral also lists the same sequence under 5 other names.
UCCCUGGUGGCUCAGAUGGUAAAGAAUCUGCCUUCAAUGCAGGAGACCCUGAUUCGAUCCCUGGCUAGGGAA